This 371-nucleotide ribosomal RNA is filed under the name uncultured bacterium. Its description in RNAcentral is "bacterial SSU rRNA". It matches the Rfam family "Bacterial small subunit ribosomal RNA", at positions 525 to 896 of the family's 1533-position model. The record is from RNAcentral.
ACGAAGGGGGCUAGCGUUGUUCGGAAUUACUGGGCGUAAAGCGUGCGCAGGCGGUCUCUCAAGUCAGGGGUGAAAGCCCAGAGCUCAACUCUGGAACUGCCCUUGAAACUGUGAGGCUCGAGUACGGGAGAGGUGAGUGGAAUUCCCAGUGUAGAGGUGAAAUUCGUAGAUAUUGGGAAGAACACCGGUGGCGAAGGCGGCUCACUGGCCCGCUUCUGACGCUCAUGCACGAUAGCGUGGGGAUCAAACAGGAUUAGAUACCCUGGUAGUCCACGCCGUAAACUAUGGACGCUAGCCGUUGGGUAGCUUGCUAUUCAGUGGCGCAGCUAACGCAUUAAGCGUCCCGCCUGGGGAGUACGGCCGCAAGGUUG